GGGGAAUAUUGCACAAUGGGCGCAAGCCUGAUGCAGCCAUGCCGCGUGUAUGAAGAAGGCCUUCGGGUUGUAAAGUACUUUCAGCGGGGAGGAAGGUGUUGUGGUUAAUAACCGCAGCAAUUGACGUUACCCGCAGAAGAAGCACCGGCUAACUCCGUGCCAGCAGCCGCGGUAAUACGGAGGGUGCAAGCGUUAAUCGGAAUUACUGGGCGUAAAGCGCACGCAGGCGGUCUGUUAAGUCAGAUGUGAAAUCCCCGGGCUCAACCUGGGAACUGCAUCUGAUACUGGCAGGCUUGAGUCUCGUAGAGGGGGGUGGAAUUCCAGGUGUAGCGGUGAAAUGCGUAGAGAUCUGGAGGAAUACCGGUGGCGAAGGCGGCCCCCUGGACGAAGACUGACGCUCAGGUGCGAAAGCGUGGGGAGCAAAC
This 425-nucleotide ribosomal RNA is filed under the name uncultured bacterium. Its description in RNAcentral is "bacterial SSU rRNA". It matches the Rfam family "Bacterial small subunit ribosomal RNA", at positions 356 to 773 of the family's 1533-position model. The record is from RNAcentral.